RNAcentral lists this ribosomal RNA (460 nucleotides) under uncultured bacterium. Its description in RNAcentral is "partial 16S ribosomal RNA". It matches the Rfam family "Bacterial small subunit ribosomal RNA", at positions 338 to 795 of the family's 1533-position model. The record is from RNAcentral.
CCUACGGGUGGCAGCAGUGAGGAAUAUUGGUCAAUGGACGAGAGUCUGAACCAGCCAAGUAGCGUGAAGGAUGACUGCCCUAUGGGUUGUAAACUUCUUUUAUAUGGGAAUAAAACGAGGCACGCAUGCCCUCUUGCAUGUACUUUAUGAAUAAGGAUCGGCUAACUCCGUGCCAGCAGCCGCGGUAAUACGGAGGAUCCGAGCGUUAUCCGGAUUUAUUGGGUUUAAAGGGAGCGUAGGUGGAUUGUUAAGUCAGUUGUGAAAGUUUGCGGCUCAACCGUAAAAUUGCAGUUGAUACUGGCAGUCUUGAGUACAGUAGAGGUGGGCGGAAUUCGUGGUGUAGCGGUGAAAUGCUUAGAUAUCACGAAGAACUCCGAUUGCGAAGGCAGCUUACUAAACUGUAACUGACACUGAUGCUCGAAAGUGUGGGUAUCAAACAGGAUUAGAUACCCGGGUAGUC